This is a non-coding RNA of Pelobates cultripes (western spadefoot toad), 221 nucleotides long. NCBI's taxonomy places the organism in Eukaryota, Metazoa, Chordata, Amphibia, Anura, Pelobatidae. The record is from the annotation of a GenBank genome assembly.
CACUGGAAGGCUAUUCCAGGUAUCUACUACCCUUUCUAUAUCACUGUUACUGCUCCCACUGGAAGGCUAUUCCAGGUAUCUACUACCCUUUCUAUAUCACUGUUACUGCUCCCACUGGAAGGCUACUCCAGGUAUCUACUACCCUUUCUAUAUCACUGUUACUGCUCCCACUGGAAGGCUAUUCCAGGUAUCUACUACCCUUUCUAUAUCACUGUUACUGC